UACGUAGGGGGCAAGCGUUGUCCGGAAUCAUUGGGCGUAAAGAGCGUGUAGGCGGCCAGAAAAGUCCGCUGUGAAAACUCGAGGCUCAACUUCGAGCUGUCGGUGGAAACUUUCUGGCUAGAGUCCGGAAGAGGAGAAUGGAAUUCCUGGUGUAGCGGUGAAAUGCGCAGAUAUCAGGAAGAACACCCGUGGCGAAGGCGGUUCUCUGGGCCGUUACUGACGCUGAGGAGCGAAAGCGUGGGGAGCGAACAGG
This 253-nucleotide ribosomal RNA is filed under the name uncultured bacterium. RNAcentral's name for it is "partial 16S ribosomal RNA". It matches the Rfam family "Bacterial small subunit ribosomal RNA", at positions 524 to 776 of the family's 1533-position model. The record is from RNAcentral.